CCUACGGGAGGCAGCAGUGGGGAAUAUUGGGCAAUGGGCGCAAGCCUGACCCAGCAACGCCGCGUGAAGGAAGAAGGCCCUCGGGUUGUAAACUUCUUUUAACAGGGACGAAGAAAGUGACGGUACCUGUUGAAUCAGCCACGGCUAACUACGGGCCAGCAGCCGCGGUAAUACGUAGGUGGACAGCGUUAUCCGGAUUUACUGGGGGUAAAGGGCGUGUAGGCGGGAGAGCAAGUCAGACGUGAAAUUCCAGGGCUCAACCCUGGAACUGCAUUUGAAACUGUUCUUCUUGAGUGAUGGAGAGGCAGGCGGAAUUCCGUGUGUAGGGGUGAAAUGCGUAGAGAUACGGAGGAACACCAGUGGCGAAGGCGACCUGCUGGACAUUAACUGACGCUGAGGCGCGAAAGCGUGGGGAGCAAACAGGAUUAGAUACCCGAGUAGUC
Molecule: ribosomal RNA, 443 nt
Filed under: uncultured bacterium
Lineage: Bacteria
Description: partial 16S ribosomal RNA
Rfam family: Bacterial small subunit ribosomal RNA
Source: RNAcentral